CCUACGGGUGGCAGCAGUGAGGAAUAUUGGUCAAUGGCCGGAAGGCUGAACCAGCCAAGCCGCGUGAAGGACGAAGGUGCCAAGCAUUGUAAACUUCUUUUGUCAAGGGACAAAAUCAGGCUCGAGAGCCUGACCGAGGGUACUUGAAUAAAAAGCAUCGGCUAACUCCGUGCCAGCAGCCGCGGUAUUACGGAGGAUGCGAGCGUUAUCCGGAUUUAUGGGGUUUAAGGGGUGCGUAGGCGGACUGUUAAGUCAGCGGUAAAAGCCCGGGGCUCAACCCCGGCGAGCCGUUGAAACUGGCUGUCUGGGGAUGUCGAGUGGUAUGCGGAAUGCGCAGUGGAGCGGUGAAAUGCUUAGAUAUUGCGCAGAACUCCGAUUGCGAAGGCAGCAUACCGGCGGCGAUCUGACGCUGAGGCACGAAAGCGUGGGUAUCGAACAGGAUUAGAUACCCUUGUAGUC
This 459-nucleotide ribosomal RNA is filed under the name uncultured bacterium. Its description in RNAcentral is "partial 16S ribosomal RNA". It matches the Rfam family "Bacterial small subunit ribosomal RNA", at positions 338 to 795 of the family's 1533-position model. The record is from RNAcentral.